This is a long non-coding RNA of Leopardus geoffroyi (Geoffroy's cat), 2650 nucleotides long. RefSeq lists it as uncharacterized. The transcript has 4 exons. Lineage: Eukaryota; Metazoa; Chordata; Mammalia; Carnivora; Felidae. The record is from RefSeq and is a predicted model, not a curated record.
AAAAACUGUGUUUCGAUGGUGAAAAUAGCUUUCAAGUCCAUGAAUGAGGACACAUGUGUACUUUUAUGGACACCUUUCCAUUUAUCAGAAAUAUAAGAGGGACAGAGAACUUGAGAGAGAAAAUCUUCAGGUGAAGCAAGCAAGCUGAAACUGAGGAAAUUCUUCCUGAAAGAAUGAUUUAUUUCUUCCAAAGAAAACUUGGUUUAUCAAAAUCAAUCAACAAAUGAGUGAACCCAUGGUGUGGUUAUUUAUAGCAAAAUUUAAAACCCAACAGAUUUCUCUUUCCCAUCUAGCAUGCUUCUGUCUAACCUCUCAUCAUUAGUUGGUAUGUACAAAAGACACAAUUCACUUUAUUUAUAAUUUAAAUCCAGUCAGAAAUAAUAGGUGAACCUUCACUUCUCACAUUUGGACUUAUCUCUCUCUCCCUCCCGACAGGAAGGGAGACUUACCUAACGGGUGAAUUUGGGAGAAGGAGCUAAGCAGUGCUUAUGUGUUUCUGAGUCUCCUCUUUGAAAAGAUGUGCCUGCCCACAGUAACAUGAAUUUGGGUCUGCUCUCAGCUCUGUGAAAAUAAGAGAUCAUACUAAACAACAACAACAACAACAACCACAACAACAAAACUGGCUGGAGUUUCAGUGAUGCUGAGUUGGAAAGGUCUUCCAUCCAUUAUAUAUGAUUGGUAAGGCAAGGGAAGCUCACCCUUAGAACCCAGCCACCACGUUGUGAGGAAUCCCAGGCUAUCUAGUGAAUCUUCAUGUAGAUACUCCAGCUGAGACUAGCCAACGUGCUAGCCAAAGGCCAGCCUCAGCAGCCAAACACGUGCAUGAACAAGCCUUUAGAUGAUUCUAGUCUCCAGCUUCCAGUUAUGCCAGCUGAUGCCAAAUGAAGAAGAAAUGAGUUGCCCUACUCUGCUUUGCCUAAACUAAAGAUUGGUGAACAAGAUAAAUGCUGUUUUGAACUACUAGGCUUUGAGUGGCUUAUUAUGCAGCAGUAAAUUCCUACCACAGAUACUGAUCCUAAAAACGGUGUGCUGCUAUUGAAAAAAACCUAAAACUAAACUUCCUUUGAACCAGGAGGUAGGUGGAACCUGGAAAGAUGUAGAAAAGCAUAAGAAUGAGACCCAAAAAGGGCCUCCACGAGACUCUUAGUGGAAGCCUGAUGGCCUGUGAAGAGGCUGACGGCAAGGGUUUCUAAGCAAGUGAAGAAAAUGACACUGGAGGAAAGGGAAGUCAUGCUACAAAAUACCUGAAAGUAAAACGGAUAGGAAAGAGAAACUAAAGAAAGACUAUGCAACUGAAAGGAACCAGGACUUACUGGGUUCAAGUAUCUGUUUCUCAUUUACAGCCUCUCUACAUGUGGAACUGUCAAAUAAUGCCAACACGAAGAAAUGGCUUUUGGGUUACGAGAAAAUCCAGGGUGCUACCAGGAAAACAGAAAGAUUUAAGGUAUGCCUCCAGUUUCUUUAGGGAUCUUAAGAGUAUAAGAUUUUUUUUUUUAAAGUAGGUUCCACACCCGACAUGGGGCUUAAACUCAGCACCCAGAGAUCAAGUGUCACAUGCUCUACCAACUGAGCCAGCCAGGAGCUCCAAGAGUAGACGAAUUUUAAAGGCAUUGUCAUAUAAGAGCUUCACAGGAAACCUGAAGCGAAAAGCUGAUCUCAAAAGGACUUGGGAGGGUCGCUUUGCUACAACACGGCAUGAAAUCCAGUAAUAUUUAUAGAAAACUAAAAAAGGUAAGAGAUUUAUAGUAGCAAACAUACUAUUUGCUAGCUUGGACUACAAGAGACCAAAUCGUGCAAAAGGAAAAGAGGCCUUUGGGUCUUAGAAGUCCCACAGGGAGGAAGCAGGAUGAAAAAACAGCUGCAAAUACAGGUCAUUCCUUAUGAAAAGGAAGGAACCAAGAGCUCAAAGAGUAAAGAAAGGGAAGAGACAUGGAGAAAGUAUUCCCGUGGUUAGGACUAAGUCCUAACUUAAGAACUGACAGCAUGCAUCAGGCUAUAUUUCAAAACUUUUAUGGACUAGGGUGCUUCCCAUCUCCUUUUUCUGAAUGGGAGAGUCUUCAGCAGUUGACUAGAAUGUUGCAUUUGUGAGUGGUAAAUAACUGUCUCUUUCGUUCUCAAGUCCUCAUAUUGAGAACACUUGCACUCAAGGGGCUAUACUUUAGAUACCAUAACCCAGGCAGCUUAUCCCCACUGCACCUGAUUAAGAUGGUAAGAUCUUGGACUCAAGCCUUGAACCUGAUGCCAUGAUAACUGAGACUUGCAGGAGGUAUUGGAGGGGGAGGGGAGUGAAUGUAUUUUUCAGGUGGGAGGAAUACAAACAUUUGUGGCCAGUGGGUAAAUUAUACUGCCUUUUAAAGGUGUCCAUAGGUUUCAAAUAUUAAUUCCAUAAAAAAAAAAAAGACCAUGGAACAACCUUAGUGGCUUGCUCCUAAUGAACAGAAUAUGUGAAUAUGAUGCUGUGUGUAUUCCAAGCCUAGGUGACAAAAGGCGAUACAGAUUCUGCCUUGCUCUGUAUCUCAGGCUGCUUACUUGGAAUCUAGCUCCCCAUCUAGUGAGGAAGUCUAGGCCACAAAGAGGGUCUAGGUGUGUCAGUUUAAGUGUUUCUGCUGCCUCCUGAACUGAAGUCCCAGGCAACAGCCAGCAUCAACAA